RNAcentral lists this ribosomal RNA (426 nucleotides) under uncultured bacterium. RNAcentral describes it as "partial 16S ribosomal RNA". It matches the Rfam family "Bacterial small subunit ribosomal RNA", at positions 354 to 796 of the family's 1533-position model. The record is from RNAcentral.
GUGAGGAAUUUUCCGCAAUGGGCGAAAGCCUGACGGAGCAAUGCCGCGUGAAGGAUGAAGGCCUAUGGGUUGUAAACUUCUUUUCUCAGAAAAGAAUUAUGACGGUAUCUGAGGAAUAAGCAUCGGCUAACUCUGUGCCAGCAGCCGCGGUAAGACAGAGGAUGCAAGCGUUAUCCGGAAUGAUUGGGCGUAAAGCGUCUGUAGGUUGUUUAAAAAGUAUUCUGUCAAAGAUUAGGGCUUAACCCUAGAUAGGCAGAAUAAACUUUUAAGCUAGAGUUUGGUAGAGGCAGAGGGAAUUCCCGGUGGAGCGGUGAAAUGCGUAGAUAUCGGGAGGAACACCAAAGGCGAAGGCACUCUGCUGGGCCAAUACUAACACUGAGAGACGAAAGCGAGGGGAGCAAAUGGGAUUAGAAACCCGUAUAGUCC